This 342-nucleotide ribosomal RNA is filed under the name Triticum aestivum (bread wheat). Its description in RNAcentral is "partial small subunit ribosomal RNA". The record is from RNAcentral. Lineage: Eukaryota; Viridiplantae; Streptophyta; Magnoliopsida; Poales; Poaceae.
AUGGCUGGCGUGGCCAUUGACCCGGGGUUCUCCCUGCGCCGCACCACUACUCAUGCCAAGGAGCGUCGUGUUGCUGUUCCGGUGACGAGGGAGGCCGAGAAGCUGGUUUGUCGGAGCCUCGGGAUAGUCCAAGAUGGCAAGGAUGUCACCAAAGACGCUCUGGAAGAGCUGAGUCGCCGCUUCCAGCACGAAUUGUCGCCCUCGGUUCUGUCCGCGCUCCGGGCAUUGUUCAAGCUCGACGACGACGAAGCCACAGCGAUUGAAGACGCCCUGAUCAGCCGCGGAGGUCAGGCUGCCAUGGACCACGAGAUUGUUGCUGCUGAUGCAACAGGAGAGGUCUGA